AUUGAACGCUGGCGGCAGGCCUAACACAUGCAAGUCGAGCGGCAGCGGGAAAGUAGCUUGCUACUGUUGCCGGCGAGCGGCGGACGGGUGGGUAAUGCCUGGGAAAUUGCGCAGCCGAGGGGGAUAACAGUUGGAAAGGACUGCUAAUACCGCAUACGCCCUACGGGGGAAAGCAGUGGACCUUCGGGCCUUGCACGAGUGUAUAUGCCCAGGUGGGAUUAGCCAGUUGGUGAGGUAAUGGCUCACCAAGGUGACGAUCCCUAGCUAGUCUGGGAGGAUGAUCAGCCACACUGGAACUGAGACACGGUCCAGACUCCUACGGGAGGCAGAAGUGGGGAAUAUUGCACAAUGGGGGAAACCCUGAUGCAGCCAUGCCGCGUGUGUGAAGAAGGCCUUCGGGUUGUAAAGCACUUUCAGCGAGGAGGAAAGGUUGAUGCCUAAUACGUAUCAAAUGUGACGUUACUCGCAGAAGAAGCACCGGCUAACUCCGUGCCAGCCGCCGCAGUAA
Molecule: ribosomal RNA, 508 nt
Filed under: uncultured bacterium
Lineage: Bacteria
Description: partial 16S ribosomal RNA
Rfam family: Bacterial small subunit ribosomal RNA
Source: RNAcentral